GGACUACAGGGGUUUCUAAUCCCAUUCGCUACCUACGCUUUCGUGUUUCAGCGUCAGGAAUGCGCCAGCAUACUGCCUUCGCUUUUGGUGUUCCCCAUGAUAUCAACGGAUUUCACCCCUACUCCAUGAGUUCCGUAUGCCUCUCGCAUCCUCAAGUCUUGCCGUUUCCCCUGCAGACCCCCGGUUAAGCCGAAGAAUUUAACAGAAGACUAACAAGACCGCCUACACACCCUUUACGCCCAAUAAUUCCGGAUAACGCUUGGAGCACUCGUAUUACCGCGGCUGCUGGCAC
This 292-nucleotide ribosomal RNA is filed under the name uncultured bacterium. RNAcentral describes it as "partial 16S ribosomal RNA". The record is from RNAcentral.